GUCUACAGCAAACAGAGCCACUCUGUUCUGUGUUCAUUCUUUUAAUUUGAGGAAGAUAAAAUGAUCUGCUUUCUCCUCUUCUGUUGUCUGGCUGGUGUUAGUCUGGGUCUUGAGGUCCAUCAGUCUCACUCUGAUCUCAUCAAAAAACCUGGUGACAAAGUGCAGAUUUUCUGCAGCCAUGAUAAAACUGACUAUACGCUGAUGUACUGGUACCAGCGUUCACCAGGAGACACAGCAUUGAAACUCAUUGGAUACUUGUACAACCAAGCUGUAAAAAUGGAAAAGGAAUAUGAGGAACAUUUCCAUAUCUCUGGAGAUUUGCGUGGAGUUGCAGCCAAGAAUGGCUCUCUGAUAGUCCAAAUAACUGGACAUGAGCAAAGUGCUGUUUACUACUGUGCAGCCAGCUAUGCACAGUGACUCUAGUUUCUCUCUCCUU
Non-coding RNA from Lates calcarifer (barramundi perch), 436 nucleotides. The record is from the annotation of a RefSeq genome assembly. NCBI's taxonomy places the organism in Eukaryota, Metazoa, Chordata, Actinopteri, Centropomidae.